GUAAGUUCCGACCUGCACGAAUGGCAUAAUGAUGGGGGCGCUGUCUCCAGCAGAGACUCAGUGAAAUCGAAUUCGCCGUGAAGAUGCGGUGUACCCGCGGCUAGACGGAAAGACCCCGUGAACCUUUACUACAGCUUGGCACUGAACAUUGAACCUACAUGUGUAGGAUAGGUGGGAGGCUAUGAAACCGGAACGCUAGUUUCGGUGGAGCCGUCCUUGAAAUACCACCCUGGUUUGUUUGAGGUUCUAACCUUGGCCCGUGAUCCGGGUCGGG
This 274-nucleotide ribosomal RNA is filed under the name Ditylum brightwellii. Its description in RNAcentral is "partial Bacterial large subunit ribosomal RNA". It matches the Rfam family "Bacterial large subunit ribosomal RNA", at positions 1976 to 2249 of the family's 2925-position model. Lineage: Eukaryota; Bacillariophyta; Thalassiosirophyceae; Lithodesmiales; Lithodesmiaceae. The record is from RNAcentral.